AUUGAACGCUGGCGGCAUGCCUUACACAUGCAAGUCGAACGGCAGCACGGGAGCAAUCCUGGUGGCGAGUGGCGAACGGGUGAGUAAAGUAUCGGAACGUGCCCAGUCGUGGGGGAUAACGUAGCGAAAGUCCCGCUAAUACCGCAUACGAUCUAUGGAUGAAAGCGGGGGAUCGCAAGACCUUGCGCGAUUGGAGCGGCCGAUAUCAGAUUAGGUAGUUGGUGGGGUAAAGGCUCACCAAGCCGACGAGCUGUAGCUGGUCUGAGAGGACGACCAGCCACACUGGGACUGAGACACGGCCCAGACUCCUACGGGAGGCAGCAGUGGGGAAUUUUGGACAAUGGGCGAAAGCCUGAUCCAGCCAUGCCGCGUGCAGGAUGAAGGCCUUCGGGUUGUAAACUGCUUUUGUACGGAACGAAAAGGUUUGGCCUAAUAAGCUGAGCUCAUGACGGUACCGUAAGAAUAAGCACCGGCUAACUACGUGCCAGCCGCCGCAGUAA
RNAcentral lists this ribosomal RNA (500 nucleotides) under uncultured bacterium. Its description in RNAcentral is "partial 16S ribosomal RNA". It matches the Rfam family "Bacterial small subunit ribosomal RNA", at positions 30 to 523 of the family's 1533-position model. The record is from RNAcentral.